This 241-nucleotide ribosomal RNA is filed under the name uncultured bacterium. Its description in RNAcentral is "partial 16S ribosomal RNA". It matches the Rfam family "Bacterial small subunit ribosomal RNA", at positions 116 to 353 of the family's 1533-position model. The record is from RNAcentral.
CGUGGGUAACCUGCCUUAUAGUGGGGGAUAGCCCUUCGAAAGGAAGAUUAAUACCGCAUAAGAUUGUAGUAUCGCAUGAUAUAGCAAUUAAAGGAGCAAUUCGCUAUAAGAUGGACCCGCGUCGCAUUAGCUAGUUGGUGAGGUAAUGGCUCACCAAGGCGACGAUGCGUAGCCGACCUGAGAGGGUGAUCGGCCACAUUGGGACUGAGACACGGCCCAGACUCCUACGGGAGGCAGCAUG